RNAcentral lists this ribosomal RNA (447 nucleotides) under uncultured bacterium. Its description in RNAcentral is "bacterial SSU rRNA". It matches the Rfam family "Bacterial small subunit ribosomal RNA", at positions 330 to 794 of the family's 1533-position model. The record is from RNAcentral.
GCCAGACUCCUACGGGAGGCAGCAGUGGGGAAUAUUGCACAAUGGGGGAAACCCUGAUGCAGCGACGCCGCGUGAGUGAAGAAGUAUUUCGGUAUGUAAAGCUCUAUCAGCAGGGAAGAAAAUGACGGUACCUGAUUAAGAAGCCCCGGCUAACUACGUGCCAGCAGCCGCGGUAAUACGUAGGGGGCAAGCGUUAUCCGGAUUUACUGGGUGUAAAGGGAGCGUAGACGGUAAUGCAAGUCUGGAGUGAAAUGCAGGGGCUCAACCCCUGAACUGCUUUGGAAACUGUAUGACUGGAGUGCAGGAGAGGUAAGUGGAAUUCCUAGUGUAGCGGUGAAAUGCGUAGAUAUUAGGAGGAACACCAGUGGCGAAGGCGGCUUACUGGACUGUAACUGACGUUGAGGCUCGAAAGCGUGGGGAGCAAACAGGAUUAGAUACCCGGGUAUU